UACGUAGGGUGCGAGCGUUAAUCGGAAUUACUGGGCGUAAAGCGUGCGCAGGCGGUUUUGUAAGCCAGAUGUGAAAUCCCCGGGCUUAACCUGGGAAUGGCAUUUGGGACUGCAAGGCUUGAGUGCGGCAGAGGAGACUGGAAUUCCUGGUGUAGCGGUGAAAUGCGCAGAUAUCAGGAGGAACACCGAUGGCGAAGGCAGGUCUCUGGGCCGAUACUGACGCUGAGGAGCGAAAGCGUGGGGAGCGAACAGGAAUAGAACCCUGGUAGUCCAGACAUGUACCUCUAGCACCG
This 293-nucleotide ribosomal RNA is filed under the name uncultured bacterium. RNAcentral's name for it is "partial 16S ribosomal RNA". It matches the Rfam family "Bacterial small subunit ribosomal RNA", at positions 524 to 817 of the family's 1533-position model. The record is from RNAcentral.